CCCCUACGGGGCGCAGCAGUAGGGAAUUUUCGUCAAUGGGCGCAAGCCUGAACGAGCAAUGCCGCGUGAACGAGGAAGGUCUUCGGAUCGUAAAGUUCUGUUGAAGGGGAAAAAGAGCGGAGAGAGGAAAUGAACUCCGAUUGAUAUUACCCUUCGAGGAAGUCACGGCUAACUACGUGCCAGCAGCCGCGGUAAUACGUAGGUGGCGAGCGUUAUCCGGAAUGAUUGGGCGUAAAGGGUGCGUAGGCGGCCUGCUACGCCUGGACUGCAUGGGACCGGCUCAACCGGUAUAGGCUGUGGGAACU
Molecule: ribosomal RNA, 305 nt
Filed under: uncultured bacterium
Lineage: Bacteria
Description: bacterial SSU rRNA
Rfam family: Bacterial small subunit ribosomal RNA
Source: RNAcentral